ACAGCUGUUGAAUCAGAGUCUGUGGCAGAGGCACCUCCCCAUCUCAACUCGGUUUUAAGGAACGCUUCAGGUGAUUCGCAUGCUUUUUCAAGUUUGAGAAUCACUGGGAUAAAUUCAUAGACUGAUUUGAACAAGGCAUUUCUAACUAGUAUUUUUGUUUGCAAUGCUUUUGACUGUAGUCAAUUAGGACUAGAGUCCCAGCAAAUAGAGGAGAAAUUUCAGAAGUAAUGCUGUUUUAAGGCUCAAAACUUUCCACAGUGCUGUGACUCACGAAACCUGAAAAAUCUUCCGUUUCUCCUUCUUGUUUCAAGUCAGAGCUUUGUAUUAACUUUCAGCGUCAACUGUAUGACCUCAGAAGCCUGGUUUCUGGUGUGGACUCCAUCAGGACCUAAAGCUUUAACAAGAAUUUAACCUGGAAAGAUAUGUCUGGUUUCUGUUUCUUCCUGGGCACAACAUCAAUUUCCUCUGGGGCAUUCAAAAAACACCAGUUGGGAAAGUUGAUCCCCAGAUGACUGGAGAGGUAUUUCAUGAAGAGGAUAGAGAUGGGGACUUGUUCAUCUCCAACUCAAGGGCUUUUUCUACAAAGCAUUUCUGCUAAAAGCUGAUCAAAGACCAGGUCCAGCUGGAAGUGUAAGACAAUGGAAGAAAGACCACACCAUUGGGAGCUAUGAAAAGUGAGCCUUUCCACUUCCAGAGUGUUCUCUGCAGAUAGUACACAGCAGAAAAACUUUGACUUUUUAAUGUAUCCUUGGAAAAAAAGCUAUUUCAGAAAU
Molecule: long non-coding RNA, 773 nt
Filed under: Equus caballus (horse)
Lineage: Eukaryota; Metazoa; Chordata; Mammalia; Perissodactyla; Equidae
Description: lncRNA (ENSECAG00000048416.1)
Source: RNAcentral